GACGAACGCUGGCGGCGUGCUUAACACAUGCAAGUCGAACGGAAAGGCCCUGCUUUUGUGGGGUGCUCGAGUGGCGAACGGGUGAGUAACACGUGAGUAACCUGCCCUUGACUUUGGGAUAACUUCAGGAAACUGGGGCUAAUACCGGAUAGGAGCUCCUGCUGCAUGGGGGGGGUUGGAAAGUUUCGGCGGUUGGGGAUGGACUCGCGGCUUAUCAGCUUGUUGGUGGGGUAGUGGCUUACCAAGGCUUUGACGGGUAGCCGGCCUGAGAGGGUGACCGGCGACAUUGGGACUGAGAUACGGCCCAGACUCCUACGGGAGGCAGCAGUGGGGAAUAUUGCAGAAUGGGCGGAAGCCUGAUGCAGCAACGCCGCGUGCGGGAUGACGGCCUUCGGGUUGUAAACCGCUUUCGCCUGUGACGAAGCGUGAGUGACGGUAAUGGGUAAAGAAGCACCGGCUAACUACGUG
RNAcentral lists this ribosomal RNA (468 nucleotides) under uncultured bacterium. Its description in RNAcentral is "partial 16S ribosomal RNA". It matches the Rfam family "Bacterial small subunit ribosomal RNA", at positions 28 to 507 of the family's 1533-position model. The record is from RNAcentral.